Non-coding RNA from Podarcis lilfordi (Lilford's wall lizard), 72 nucleotides. The record is from the annotation of a GenBank genome assembly. Lineage: Eukaryota; Metazoa; Chordata; Lepidosauria; Squamata; Lacertidae.
GCUGAGAUGGCUCAGCUGGUAGAGCAUGAGACUCUUAAUCUCAGGGACAUGGGUUCGAGCCUACCUUGGGCA